This 23-nucleotide microRNA is filed under the name Ovis aries (sheep). Its description in RNAcentral is "miRNA 35-f". The record is from RNAcentral. Lineage: Eukaryota; Metazoa; Chordata; Mammalia; Artiodactyla; Bovidae.
CUCUGCCUGGCUCUGUCCCCAGU